This 682-nucleotide ribosomal RNA is filed under the name Bacillus aerius. RNAcentral describes it as "bacterial SSU rRNA". It matches the Rfam family "Bacterial small subunit ribosomal RNA", at positions 198 to 865 of the family's 1533-position model. The record is from RNAcentral. Lineage: Bacteria; Bacillati; Bacillota; Bacilli; Caryophanales; Bacillaceae.
UCAUAAAAGGUGGCUUUUAGCUACCACUUACAGAUGGACCCGCGGCGCAUUAGCUAGUUGGUGAGGUAACGGCUCACCAAGGCGANGAUGNGUAGCCGACNUGAGAGGGUGAUCGGCCACACUGGGACUGAGACACGGCCCAGACUCNUACGGGAGGCAGCAGUAGGGAAUCUUCCGCAAUGGACGAAAGUCUGACGGAGCAACGCCGCGUGAGUGAUGAAGGUUUUCGGAUCGUAAAACUCUGUUGUUAGGGAAGAACAAGUACCGUUNGAAUAGGGCGGCACCUUGACGGUACCUAACCAGAAAGCCACGGCUAACUACGUGCCAGCAGCCGCGGUAAUACGUAGGUGGCAAGCGUUGUCCGNAAUUAUUGGGCGUAAAGCGCGCGCAGGCGGUUUCUUAAGUCUGAUGUGAAAGCCCCCGGCUCAACCGGGGAGGGUCAUUGGAAACUGGGGAACUUGAGUGCAGAAGAGGAGAGUGGAAUUCCACGUGUAGCGGUGAAAUGCGUAGAGAUGUGGAGGAACACCAGUGGNGAAGGCGACUUUCUGGUCUGUAACUGACGCUGAGGCGCGAAAGCGUGGGGAGCGAACAGGAUUAGAUACCCUGGUAGUCCACGCCGUAAACGAUGAGUGCUAAGUGUUAGAGGGUUUCCGCCCUUUAGUGCUGCAGCAAACGCAUAAGC